Molecule: non-coding RNA, 354 nt
Organism: Gadus chalcogrammus (walleye pollock)
Lineage: Eukaryota; Metazoa; Chordata; Actinopteri; Gadiformes; Gadidae
Source: the annotation of a RefSeq genome assembly
GGUGGAGGCACCAAACUCAUCGUUGACUUGGGAGUGGUGCAGCCCACGCUGAGCGUCCUCCCUCCCUCCAGAGUGGAGCUGGAGCAGGGCAGUGCUACACUAGUGUGUGUGGCCAGUGGGGGCUUCCCCUCAGACUGGAAGCUUGGCUGGAAGGUGGGGGGCAGCAGCAGGUCUGGGGGGGUGUCAGAUAGCCUGGGGGUCCUGGGGAAAGAUGGCCACUACAGCUGGAGCAGCACCUUGACCCUCCCUGCAGACCAGUGGAGGAAGGCGGGCUCAGUGAGCUGUGAGGCCAGUAAGAAUGGCCAGACGCAGCCUGUCACUCAAACCCUGAAUCCUGGAGACUGUUCAGAGUAG